GUCCCAAGCGUAACGUAGAGAUGUUAUCCGAUUCCUAAUUUGCUUGUCAAUGCUUCUAGAGAUCUUCUCCGUUGUGACCCACACACCUCCAUGCCUUCUUGAAUUUCGUUCUCUCUAGAUAGAGUAGAGAACCAUCUGAAACACCAUCCUUCCUAGCACAGUAUCAAGCCGACUCCGUGCAGGCUGCAGCAAGGACACGACAGUAUCAUUCCAGUCAGGAGAUAUGGCAUUUCCGAAUAGCUUUCCUGCAGUUUGCAGCCAGACAGUAAACGAGUAGGGACAUGCAAAAUACAAGUGAUCCCUUGUUUCAUUCUUCUCUCCACACAGCACACAACACUGCUC
This 342-nucleotide long non-coding RNA is filed under the name Brassica napus (rape). RNAcentral describes it as "long non-coding RNA (BNAP_LNC013344)". Lineage: Eukaryota; Viridiplantae; Streptophyta; Magnoliopsida; Brassicales; Brassicaceae. The record is from RNAcentral.